AAAGGGGUUCGAGUUGAAUGUUAAGCCUCCAUUCAGCAACGAGCAGCUCAUCAGGGCAUCACCUCAGCACUGCUGUCACCAUGGUAACCGUGUCAGUCCUGCUUCUCCUGCUCUCUGCUUUUACUCCUCCAGUCCAGAGUCAACUCACUUCACUCCAUAUCAUUCCGGGUGACAUGAUUCAGACUGAGGCUCGGAAAGCUUGCAGAGAAAAUUACACCGACCUCAUCACUGUGUACUCUGAUGAAGACAACA
Tachysurus fulvidraco (yellow catfish) is the source of this 252-nucleotide long non-coding RNA. RefSeq lists it as uncharacterized. The record is from RefSeq and is a predicted model, not a curated record. The transcript is spliced from 3 exons. NCBI's taxonomy places the organism in Eukaryota, Metazoa, Chordata, Actinopteri, Siluriformes, Bagridae.